GAUUUCUCGGGACCUAGUCAGCAGUAAGGCUGGGCCGAAGUGAUUUAAUUAGCACAUGCAGAUCAGCGCAAAGAGACAGAGAGAGGGAGAAUGGAUGCCGAUGUUCUCUUCCGGGAGCAGAAGUCUCCAUGGUUCGUGUUUGUGUCGCUGGCCAUCCUUGGCGUGCUGUACGUCGCCGCCGUCGCGUGCCGCCUCCUCCAUAUCUCCGGGCUCGCGCUCUGCCUGCGCCGGCCCAAGGACCUCCGCCGCCGCUACGGGGCGUGGGCCGUCGUCACCGGCCCCACCUCCGGCAUCGGCCGCUCCAUGGCCCUGGAGCUCGCGCGGCUCGGCCUCAACCUCGUCCUCGUCGGCCGCGACCCGGCGAAGCUCGACGACAUCUCCCGAGCCGUCUCCGAAGCCCACGGCGUGCAGGCCAAGACCGUGCUGUUCGAUUUCUCACUCGUUUCCACUCCUCAAGGGGAUGAAGCCAUGGGGCGGCUGCGGGAGGCGGUGCAGGGGCUGGAGGUUGGGGUGCUGGUGAACAACGCCGGCGUGGCGACGCCGCACGCGACGUACCUGCACGAGGAGGCCGACGCGGAGGCGUGGGUGAGGAUGAUACGGGUGAACCUGUGGGCGACGACGGAAGUCACGGCGGCUGUGCUGCCCGGGAUGGUUGAGCGCGGGAGGGGCGCCGUCGUCAACAUCGGCUCCGGCGCCACCGAGGCUUUGCCAUCCUACCCCCUCUACUCCGUCUACGCCGCCACCAAACGCAGAUACGUUACUCACUUCUCCAGGAGCCUUUACGUUGAGUACAGGGGCAAAGGAAUCGACGUGCAAUGUCAGGCCCCGCUCUUUGUGGACACGAAGAUGACGACGAACAUGGUGACUCAGGAAGGCCUCUUGUCGUGGAUAAUCAUGCCGACGCCAGAGGCAUACGCCCUCGCAGCGGCACGCUGGAUUGGGCACCGCCGCCCCCUCUGCAUGCCUAAUCUAAGCCACCGGCUGCAAUGGUGCCUUAGCCAAUUCGUGCCGGACCACGUCCUCAACAUGCACCGCCUCCGUGAGAACCUCCGGCAACGUACCAUCUUCCAACGGCUCAAGUGAUAGAGAGCUGCCGCACGGGGUAAAGAGUCAGCUUGGCAUGCAGUAUUUGUUGGUGGGGGUUACCUACUAGUUGGCUUGACGAUUGGUGCUCCGGUGAUCUCUUCGUGGAUGAUUGUGAAGAGAACCGAGCUUCUCCUUCAUGGAGCUUGUAAAGUGGUUAUGGAGCUUGCCAUCUCCAGACUAGAGAAAAAUCUUGCCAUAAGGGAAAGGCAUUUCUCCUUCGUGGUAUUGGCUUGGAGAAGAAUGUGAGCCUUCAUGGAGUUCAAAAGAUAUUCGUGGUAGCCCGCAUCUCUCCAAUGUGACGUACCUCAUCUUGUAUGGAGGAGCACAGGAAUACGUAUUCGUCUCCGCGUGCCUCGGUUAUCUCUAUACUCGAGUUUACUUUUCUUGUGAUAGCCAUCGUGCUUGAAUUACAUAUACCUUGCUA
Molecule: non-coding RNA, 1510 nt
Organism: Lolium perenne
Lineage: Eukaryota; Viridiplantae; Streptophyta; Magnoliopsida; Poales; Poaceae
Source: RefSeq, a predicted model, not a curated record